This 424-nucleotide ribosomal RNA is filed under the name uncultured bacterium. RNAcentral describes it as "bacterial SSU rRNA". It matches the Rfam family "Bacterial small subunit ribosomal RNA", at positions 355 to 776 of the family's 1533-position model. The record is from RNAcentral.
UGAGGAAUAUUGGUCAAUGGGCGCGAGCCUGAACCAGCCAAGUAGCGUGAAGGAUGACUGCCCUACGGGUUGUAAACUUCUUUUAUAAAGGAAUAAAGUGAGGCACGUGUGCCUUUUUGUAUGUACUUUAUGAAUAAGGAUCGGCUAACUCCGUGCCAGCAGCCGCGGUAAUACGGAGGAUCCGAGCGUUCUCCGGAUUUAUUGGGUUUAAAGGGAGCGUAGAUGGAUGUUUAAGUCAGUUGUGAAAGUUUGCGGCUCAACCGUAAAAUUGCAGUUGAUACUGGAUAUCUUGAGUGCAGUUGAGGCAGGCGGAAUUCGUGGUGUAGCGGUGAAAUGCUUAGAUAUCACGAAGAACUCCGAUUGCGAAGGCAGCCUGCUAAGCUGCAACUGACAUUGAGGCUCGAAAGUGUGGGUAUCAAACAGG